GGAGGUAUAGCUCAGUGGUAGAGCUCAUGCUUAGCAGGUGUAAGGUCCUGGGUUCAGUCCCCAGUACCUCCA
This 72-nucleotide transfer RNA is filed under the name Camelus bactrianus (Bactrian camel). It matches the Rfam family "tRNA". From Rfam's summary of the family: Transfer RNA (tRNA) molecules are approximately 80 nucleotides in length. Their secondary structure includes four short double-helical elements and three loops (D, anti-codon, and T loops). Further hydrogen bonds mediate the characteristic L-shaped molecular structure. tRNAs have two regions of fundamental functional importance: the anti-codon, which is responsible for specific mRNA codon recognition, and the 3' end, to which the tRNAs corresponding amino acid is attached (by aminoacyl-tRNA synthetases). tRNAs cope with the degeneracy of the genetic code in two manners: having more than one tRNA (with a specific anti-codon) for a particular amino acid; and 'wobble' base-pairing, i.e. permitting non-standard base-pairing at the 3rd anti-codon position. The record is from Rfam by way of RNAcentral. Lineage: Eukaryota; Metazoa; Chordata; Mammalia; Artiodactyla; Camelidae. RNAcentral also lists the same sequence under 2 other names.